Molecule: ribosomal RNA, 481 nt
Filed under: uncultured bacterium
Lineage: Bacteria
Description: bacterial SSU rRNA
Rfam family: Bacterial small subunit ribosomal RNA
Source: RNAcentral
UGAACGCUGGCGGCGUGCUUAACACAUGCAAGUCGAACGAAGCAUUUAAGACAGAUUACUUCGGUUUGAAGUCUUUUAUGACUGAGUGGCGGACGGGUGAGUAACGCGUGGGUAACCUGCCUCAUACAGGGGGAUAGCAGCUGGAAACGGCUGGUAAUACCGCAUAAGCGCACGGUAUCGCAUGAUACAGUGUGAAAAACUCCGGUGGUAUGAGAUGGACCCGCGUCUGAUUAGCUGGUUGGUGAGGUAACGGCCCACCAAGGCGACGAUCAGUAGCCGACCUGAGAGGGUGACCGGCCACAUUGGGACUGAGACACGGCCCAGACUCCUACGGGAGGCAGCAGUGGGGAAUAUUGCACAAUGGAGGAAACUCUGAUGCAGCGACGCCGCGUGAGUGAAGAAGUAUUUCGGUAUGUAAAGCUCUAUCAGCAGGGAAGAAGAAAUGACGGUACCUGACUAAGAAGCCCCGGCUAACUACGUG